Long non-coding RNA from Melospiza melodia melodia, 782 nucleotides. RefSeq lists it as uncharacterized. The transcript is spliced from 3 exons. Lineage: Eukaryota; Metazoa; Chordata; Aves; Passeriformes; Passerellidae. The record is from RefSeq and is a predicted model, not a curated record.
UUAAAGAAAAAGCAAUAGUUUUAUUAUUUUUACCCUGUUAUGUCUGUUUCCUCAGUAUUUGCUGCAGCUCUGCUUACCCAAGGUUUGGGUAAAACAAGCUUUGGGUUCCCUCUGUCUCACUGGGAGUUGCCCAAUUCAGUUGCAUCUGGUGAAAUUCACCCUGAGACCUUACAGAACUAGCUCCAACUACAUGCGAGCCAUUUGCAGUUCUCUCCAGACACCUGGAGAAUGGGCGACGUUUCUGAGGAUCCGGCGAGCGUGCUUCUAUCAAAACUCAGUCUGUGAAAUUUCUGGGGAAAACCCUUCUGUGUCCUGAAGGGUUCAAACUCUGGCGAGGAUCCAGUUAUCAGGUGCUCACCUGGAUGGUUCCAGCUGCCAAAGGGAAAGACUCUCGUAUCCUUGUCGUCGGGCUCGGUGCUGUCCAAGAAGAUACAGAAACUAAAAAAAUCAUAAGAAGCAAAAUAUGACUGCAGGGAAAAGAAGCUGGAGAGAACAGAAGACUCAUCACGGCGGGACAGCGUGAGGACUGAAAGUGUAAGAAGAUGUGGAGGGAAACAGAGAAUCUGACAGGAGCAGCGAACGCACGAGUGCACGAAUUUUGCUUUUUGCUUGGAUGUAAACUCAGGAGUUGAAAGGAAUUUGGGAGUGAGAAGGGACAUUUCAGAAGGAGAAGAAGAAAAAGAAGUUGUUGUUGUUGCUACAGUCCUGGCAAAAGCUUUUGUUCUAGCUAAUAAAAGAAGUUAGUUUAAAAAACAAAAAGGAAAAAAUGUAGUGUUUUUUUU